This 512-nucleotide ribosomal RNA is filed under the name uncultured Cytophagaceae bacterium. RNAcentral describes it as "bacterial SSU rRNA". It matches the Rfam family "Bacterial small subunit ribosomal RNA", at positions 8 to 513 of the family's 1533-position model. Lineage: Bacteria; Pseudomonadati; Bacteroidota; Cytophagia; Cytophagales; Cytophagaceae. The record is from RNAcentral.
AGGGUUCGAUUAUGGCUCAGAAUGAACGCUAGCGGCAGGCCUAACACAUGCAAGUCGAGGGGUAACAGGGAGAAGCUUGCUUUUCCGCUGACGACCGGCGCACGGGUGCGUAACGCGUAUACAAUCUGCCUUAUACUGGGGUAUAGCCUUUAGAAAUGAAGAUUAAUCCCCCAUAGUCUCUUAGAGUGGCAUCAUUUUAGGAGUAAAGGUUACGGUAUAAGAUGAGUAUGCGUUCUAUUAGUUUGUUGGUGAGGUAACGGCUCACCAAGGCUACGAUAGAUAGGGGCCCUGAGAGGGGGAUCCCCCACACUGGUACUGAGACACGGACCAGACUCCUACGGGAGGCAGCAGUGAGGAAUAUUGGACAAUGGAGGCAACUCUGAUCCAGCCAUGCCGCGUGUAGGAUGACUGCCCUAUGGGUUGUAAACUACUUUUAUACAGGAAGAAACACCUCUACGUGUAGAGGCUUGACGGUACUGUAAGAAUAAGGAUCGGCUAACUCCGUGCCAGCC